RNAcentral lists this ribosomal RNA (484 nucleotides) under uncultured bacterium. RNAcentral describes it as "partial 16S ribosomal RNA". It matches the Rfam family "Bacterial small subunit ribosomal RNA", at positions 30 to 507 of the family's 1533-position model. The record is from RNAcentral.
AUUGAACGCUGGCGGCAGGCCUAACACAUGCAAGUCGAGCGGAUGAAGGGAGCUUGCUCCUGGAUUCAGCGGCGGACGGGUGAGUAAUGCCUAGGAAUCUGCCUGGUCGUGGGGGAUAACGUCCGGAAACGGGCGCUAAUACCGCAUACGUCCUGAGGGAGAAAGUGGGGGAUCUUCGGACCUCACGCUAUCAGAUGAGCCUAGGUCGGAUUAGCUAGUUGGUGGGGUAAAGGCCUACCAAGGCGACGAUCCGUAACUGGUCUGAGAGGAUGAUCAGUCACACUGGAACUGAGACACGGUCCGGACUCCUACGGGAGGCAGCAGUGGGGAAUAUUGGACAAUGGGCGAAAGCCUGAUCCAGCCAUGCCGCGUGUGUGAAGAAGGUCUUCGGAUUGUAAAGCACUUUAAGUUGGGAGGAAGGGCAGUAAGUUAAUACCUUGCUGUUUUGACGUUACCAACAGAAUAAGCACCGGCUAACUUCGUG